GAGGAUUAUACUGUCUCCCCCCCUAAAUCAAUGAAACUGAUCCCCCCGUGAAGAAGCGGGGAUAAAUAUAUAAGACGAGAAGACCCUAUGGAGCUUUAAACUCAACACCACCUACCUCAACCAACUCCCUCACAAACAGGUAGAGAUCGUGUAUGUUUUCAGUUGGGGUGACUGCGGAGCAGAAUAAAACCUCCACGAUGAAAAAUAACCUCUAAUCCAAGAACAACAUUUCAAAGAAUCAACAAAUUGACAUCAAUUGACCCAAAUAAUAAUUUGAUCAACGAACCAAGUUACCCUAGGGAUAACAGCGCAAUCCAUUUCAAGAGCUCAUAUCGACAAAUG
Molecule: ribosomal RNA, 342 nt
Filed under: Chiasmocleis cordeiroi
Lineage: Eukaryota; Metazoa; Chordata; Amphibia; Anura; Microhylidae
Description: partial 16S ribosomal RNA
Rfam family: Bacterial large subunit ribosomal RNA
Source: RNAcentral